GGGAAUCUACCCAUCUCUGCGGAAUAGCUCUGGGAAACUGGAAUUAAUACCGCACACGCCCUACGGGGGAAAGAUUUAUCGGGGAUGGAUGAGCCCGCGUUGGAUUAGCUAGUUGGUGGGGUAAAGGCCUACCAAGGCGACGAUCCAUAGCUGGUCUGAGAGGAUGAUCAGCCACAUUGGGACUGAGACACGGCCCAAACUCCUACGGGAGGCAGCAGUGGGGAAUAUUGGACAAUGGGCGCAAGCCUGAUCCAGCCAUGCCGCGUGAGUGAUGAAGGCCUUAGGGUUGUAAAGCUCUUUCACCGGUGAAGAUAAUGACGGUAACCGGAGAAGAAGCCCCGGCUAACUUCGUGCCAGCAGCCGCGGUAAUACGAAGGGGGCUAGCGUUGUUCGGAAUUACUGGGCGUAAAGCGCACGUAGGCGGAUAUUUAAGUCAGGGGUGAAAUCCCAGAGCUCAACUCUGGAACUGCCUUUGAUACUGGGUAUCUUGAGUAUGGAAGAGGUAAGUGGAAUUGCGAGU
This 520-nucleotide ribosomal RNA is filed under the name uncultured bacterium. Its description in RNAcentral is "bacterial SSU rRNA". It matches the Rfam family "Bacterial small subunit ribosomal RNA", at positions 120 to 674 of the family's 1533-position model. The record is from RNAcentral.